RNAcentral lists this ribosomal RNA (459 nucleotides) under uncultured bacterium. Its description in RNAcentral is "partial 16S ribosomal RNA". It matches the Rfam family "Bacterial small subunit ribosomal RNA", at positions 338 to 795 of the family's 1533-position model. The record is from RNAcentral.
CCUACGGGUGGCAGCAGUAGGGAAUAUUGGUCAAUGGGCGGAAGCCUGAACCAGCCAAGUAGCGUGCAGGAUGACGGCCCUACGGGUUGUAAACUGCUUUUAUACGGGAAUAACGCGCCUUACGUGUAGGGCUUUGCAUGUACCGUAUGAAUAAGGACCGGCUAAUUCUGUGCCAGCAGCCGCGGUAAUACGGAAGGUCCGGGGGUUAUCCGGAUUUAUUGGGGUUAAAGGGUGCGCAGGCGGAAGAUCAAGUCAGCGGUAAAAUUGAGAGGCUAAACCUCGUCGAGCCGUUGAAACUGGUUUUCUUGAGUGAGUGCGAGGUAUGCGGAAUGCGUGGUGUAGCGGUGAAAUGCAUAGAUAUCACGCAGAACUCCGAUUGCGAAGGCAGCAUACCGGCGCUCAACUGACGCUCAUGCACGAAAGUGUGGGUAUCGAACAGGAUUAGAUACCCCUGUAGUC